Molecule: transfer RNA, 86 nt
Filed under: Promethearchaeota archaeon
Lineage: Archaea; Promethearchaeati; Promethearchaeota
Description: Candidatus Lokiarchaeota archaeon (anaerobic digester metagenome) tRNA-Ser
Rfam family: tRNA
About the family: Transfer RNA (tRNA) molecules are approximately 80 nucleotides in length. Their secondary structure includes four short double-helical elements and three loops (D, anti-codon, and T loops). Further hydrogen bonds mediate the characteristic L-shaped molecular structure. tRNAs have two regions of fundamental functional importance: the anti-codon, which is responsible for specific mRNA codon recognition, and the 3' end, to which the tRNAs corresponding amino acid is attached (by aminoacyl-tRNA synthetases). tRNAs cope with the degeneracy of the genetic code in two manners: having more than one tRNA (with a specific anti-codon) for a particular amino acid; and 'wobble' base-pairing, i.e. permitting non-standard base-pairing at the 3rd anti-codon position.
Source: RNAcentral
GCACAGGUAGCGAAGUGGUUACCGCGCCUGACUCGAGAUCAGGUGUCCUCACGGACGCGGGGGUUCAAGUCCCUCCCUGUGCGCCA